Molecule: long non-coding RNA, 1110 nt
Organism: Cyprinus carpio (common carp)
Lineage: Eukaryota; Metazoa; Chordata; Actinopteri; Cypriniformes; Cyprinidae
Source: Ensembl
AUGUACAUGCCUUAUUCCAUUCAAUGUUUUCUUGUGGAACUUAGAAAGUUUCCUUCACAGGUAACGGAAAAAACUUGUUUUUGUUCCAGUGAAGGAAGAAAAAACACAAAGGCUGCCAUUACAGCUGAAGAAACACGAGUUUCUCCAGACAACGUCACUCUCUCUAGGCUCACCUACUGUGUCAUGGCCGGGACAUCUGGAAAGUUGACCUUUUGGAAGGGAAAUAUGAGGUUGGUGGGAUGAUAAGACUGAUAAGAUUGCAGCCAAGUCCAAUCUCUCAUGAAGUGAGACGUUACAUGAUGUUCUGCUGUCAGGCUCGGACACUGGCUAGUACUUUCUGGAUCCCUAGUUUGAGAGUUUUUUUAAUCAUAUCUGCCAAUGUGCAGAGGUGACUGCGUGGAAGUUAAAAAGAAGGGAAGUGUGUCUGCAGGACUGCCCAAAAUGACUCAUAUUCGGAGGGCAAGGAAUGGAAAGACGUGAGAGACAAGCAGAGGAUUUGUAAAUAUUUCAAGUUGUAAAUCAUAUGAUUCAUAAUAAUUUGUUUGUGACUCAUAUUUCCCAACUAUUAUGUAGUCAGCUAUCAUAAUAGAUAUAAAGUGCAACAUUCAACUUUUGAACAGCUUCCUGUCAGAAUGACUCCACCUACCAUGGCCUCUUAUCAGCAGAUCUGGGAUCAUUUUCCCUUUCCACUAUUGAAAUCAUGUCAGAACAGACUCUACAUCACCUCCUCUGGGACCCUUUGUAUUAGUUUUUUAGUGGGGGUAUGACGCUAGGAAUGAUAUAGAUAAGCUGAGAACUUUAUUCUGUUUUGAACCUCUCACUCAUUGCGGUCAUCAUUAAAUGCUCUUGAAUCAGCUGUCUAAUAGCCUAAGGCCUCUGGAGAAUAUUUAGCUGGAUCUUUUUGAAAACGCUGAUGGCCAUACAAGGUGGUGGCUUGGUUGGUUUAGUGUAAACAGUUAGAUGUUAGUGUGUUUCCUUGAUGAAGGACGAUGAGCUGAUUCACGUAAGAAUAGAUGCCUCACAUCCUGUAGUCACAAACGAAGAUCUGUUUGCAUGAGACUUUUCAUAUAAAGGUUAUGUUUAGCAAUAAAAAUAUACUAUGGUGAUCCA